AUUGAACGCUGGCGGCAGGCCUAACACAUGCAAGUCGAACGGUAACAGGAAGCAGCUUGCUGCUUUGCUGACGAGUGGCGGACGGGUGAGUAAUGUCUGUGAAACUGCCUGAUGGAGGGGGAUAACUACUGGAAACUGUAGCUAAUACCGCAUAACGUCGCAAGACCAAAGAGGGGGACCUUAGGGCCUCUUGCCAUCGGAUUUGCCCAGAUGGGAUUAGCUAGUAGGUGGGGUCACGGCUCACCUAGGCGACGAUCCCUAGCUGGUCUGAGAGGGUGACCAGCCACACUGGAACUGAGACACGGUCCCGACUCCUACGGGAGGCAGCAGUGGGGACUAUUGCACGAUGGGGGCAAGACUGAUGCAGCCAUGCCGCGUGUAUGAAGAAGGCCUUCGGGUUGUACAAUACUUUCAGCGGGGAGGAAGGGAGUAAAGUUAAUACCUUUGCUCAUUGACGUUACCCGCAGAAGAAGCACCGGCUAACUCCGUG
RNAcentral lists this ribosomal RNA (490 nucleotides) under uncultured bacterium. RNAcentral's name for it is "partial 16S ribosomal RNA". It matches the Rfam family "Bacterial small subunit ribosomal RNA", at positions 30 to 507 of the family's 1533-position model. The record is from RNAcentral.